ACAUCCAGAGAACUUGGCAGAGAUGCCUUGGUGCCUUCGGGACCUCUGAGACAGGUGCUGCAUGGCUGUCGUCAGCUCGUGUUGUGAAAUGUUGGGUUAAGUCCCGNAACGAGCGCAACCCCUAUCCUUUGUUGCCAGCGAUUGGUCGGGAACUCAAAGGAGACUGCCGGUGAUAAACCGGAGGAAGGUGGGGAUGACGUCAAGUCAUCAUGGCCCUUACGAGUAGGGCUACACACGUGCUACAAUGGCGCAUACAAAGAGAAGCGACCUCGCGAGAGCAAGCGGACCUCAUAAAGUGCGUCGUAGUCCGGAUCGGAGUCUGCAACUCGACUCCGUGAAGUCGGAAUCGCUAGUAAUCGUAGAUCAGAAUGCUACGGUGAAUACGUUCCCGGGCCUUGUACACACCGCCCGUCACACCAUGGGAGUGGGUUGCAAAAGAAGUAGAUAGCUUAACCUUCGGGAGGGCGUUUACCACUUUGUGAUUCAUGACUGGGGUGAAGUCGUAACAAGGUAGGCGUAGCGAG
Molecule: ribosomal RNA, 524 nt
Filed under: uncultured bacterium
Lineage: Bacteria
Description: bacterial SSU rRNA
Rfam family: Bacterial small subunit ribosomal RNA
Source: RNAcentral